This 497-nucleotide ribosomal RNA is filed under the name uncultured bacterium. Its description in RNAcentral is "partial 16S ribosomal RNA". It matches the Rfam family "Bacterial small subunit ribosomal RNA", at positions 28 to 507 of the family's 1533-position model. The record is from RNAcentral.
GAUGAACGCUGGCGGCGUGCCUAAUACAUGCAAGUCGAGCGAACGGACGAGAAGCUUGCUUCUCUGAUGUUAGCGGCGGACGGGUGUGUAACACGUGGAUAACCUACCUAUAAGACUGGGAUAACUUCGGGAAACCGGAGCUAAUACCGGAUAAUAUUUUGAACCGCAUGGUUCAAAAGUGAAAGACGGUCUUGCUGUCACUUAUAGAUGGAUCCGCGCUGCAUUAGCUAGUUGGUAAGGUAACGGCUUACCAAGGCAACGAUGCAUAGCCGACCUGAGAGGGUGAUCGGCCACACUGGAACUGAGACACGGUCCAGACUCCUACGGGAGGCAGCAGUAGGGAAUCUUCCGCAAUGGGCGAAAGCCUGACGGAGCAACGCCGCGUGAGUGAUGAAGGUCCUCGGAUCGUAAAACUCUGUUAUUAGGGAAGAACAUAUGUGUAAGUAACUGUGCACAUCUUGACGGUACCUAAUCAGAAAGCCACGGCUAACUACGUG